UCGAACGACUCUGGUAUUGAUUGGUGCUUGCAUCAUGAUUUACAUUUGAGUGAGUGGCGAACUGGUGAGUAACACGUGGGAAACCUGCCCAGAAGCGGGGGAUAACACCUGGAAACAGAUGCUAAUACCGCAUAACAACUUGGACCGCAUGGUCCGAGCUUGAAAGAUGGCUUCGGCUAUCACUUUUGGAUGGUCCCGCGGCGUAUUAGCUAGAUGGUGGGGUAACGGCUCACCAUGGCAAUGAUACGUAGCCGACCUGAGAGGGUAAUCGGCCACAUUGGGACUGAGACACGGCCCAAACUCCUACGGGAGGCAGCAGUAGGGAAUCUUCCACAAUGGACGAAAGUCUGAUGGAGCAACGCCGCGUGAGUGAAGAAGGGUUUCGGCUCGUAAAACUCUGUUGUUAAAGAAGAACAUAUCUGAGAGUAACUGUUCAGGUAUUGACGGUAUUUAACCAGAAAGCCACGGCUAACUACGUGCCAGCAGCCGCGGUAAUACGUAGGUGGCAAGCGUUGUCCGGAUUUAUUGGGCGUAAAGCGAGCGCAGGCGGUUUUUUAAGUCUGAUGUGAAAGCCUUCGGCUCAACCGAAGAAGUGCAUCGGAAACUGGGAAACUUGAGUGCAGAAGAGGACAGUGGAACUCCAUGUGUAGCGGUGAAAUGCGUAGAUAUAUGGAAGAACACCAGUGGCGAAGGCGGCUGUCUGGUCUGUAACUGACGCUGAGGCUCGAAAGUAUGGGUAGCAAACAGGAUUAGAUACCCUGGUAGUCCAUACCGUAAACGAUGAAUGCUAAGUGUUGGAGGGUUUCCGCCCUUCAGUGCUGCAGCUAACGCAUUAAGCAUUCCGCCUGGGGAGUACGGCCGCAAGGCUGAAACUCAAAGGAAUUGACGGGGGCCCGCACAAGCGGUGGAGCAUGUGGUUUAAUUCGAAGCUACGCGAAGAACCUUACCAGGUCUUGACAUACUAUGCAAAUCUAAGAGAUUAGACGUUCCCUUCGGGGACAUGGAUACAGGUGGUGCAUGGUUGUCGUCAGCUCGUGUCGUGAGAUGUUGGGUUAAGUCCCGCAACGAGCGCAACCCUUAUUAUCAGUUGCCAGCAUUAAGUUGGGCACUCUGGUGAGACUGCCGGUGACAAACCGGAGGAAGGUGGGGAUGACGUCAAAUCAUCAUGCCCCUUAUGACCUGGGCUACACACGUGCUACAAUGGAUGGUACAACGAGUUGCGAACUCGCGAGAGUAAGCUAAUCUCUUAAAGCCAUUCUCAGUUCGGAUUGUAGGCUGCAACUCGCCUACAUGAAGUCGGAAUCGCUAGUAAUCGCGGAUCAGCAUGCCGCGGUGAAUACGUUCCCGGGCCUUGUACACACCGCCCGUCACACCAUGAGAGUUUGUAACACCCAAAGUCGGUGG
This 1404-nucleotide ribosomal RNA is filed under the name Lactiplantibacillus plantarum. RNAcentral describes it as "bacterial SSU rRNA". It matches the Rfam family "Bacterial small subunit ribosomal RNA", at positions 62 to 1433 of the family's 1533-position model. The record is from RNAcentral. Lineage: Bacteria; Bacillati; Bacillota; Bacilli; Lactobacillales; Lactobacillaceae.